ACGGCUCAGUAACACGUGGACAACCUACCCUUGGGUCCGGCAUAAUCCUGGGAAACUGGGGAUAAUUCCGGAUAGGUCACAGAUGCUGGAAUGCACUGUGGCUCAAAGCUCCGGCGCCCAAGGAUGGGUCUGCGGCCUAUCAGGGUUGUAGUGGGUGUAAUGUACCUACUAGCCUACGACGGGUACGGGUUGUGAGAGCAAGAGCCCGGAGAUGGAUUCUGAGACACGAAUCCAGGCCCUACGGGGUGCAGCAGGCGCGAAAACUUUACAAUGCGGGAAACCGUGAUAAGGGAAUCUCGAGUGCCAGCAUAUAAUGUUGGCUGUCCAGAUGCCUAAAAAGCAUCUGUUAGCAAGGGCCGGGCAAGACCGGUGCCAGCCGCCGCGGUAACACCGGCGGCCCGAGUGGUAACCGCUAUUAUUGGGUCUAAAGGGUCUGUAGCCGGCCAGGUAAGUCCCUUGGGAAAUCUGGCAGCUCAACUGUCAGGCUGCUAGGGGAUACUGUUUGGCUUGGGACCGGGAGAGGUGAGAGGUACCUUGGGGGUAGGGGUGAAAUCUUGUGAUCCUCGGGGGACCACCAGUGGCGAAGGCGUCUCACCAGAACGGGUCCGACGGUAAGGGACGAAAGCUAGGGGCACGAACCGGAUUAGAUACCCGGGUAGUCCUAGCCGUAAACGAUGCUCGCUAGGUGUCAGUCACGGUGCGACCGUGAUUGGUGCCGUAGGGAAGCCGUGAAGCGAGCCACCUGGGAAGUAUGGCCGCAAGGCUGAAACUUAAAGGAAUUGGCGGGGGAGCACUACAACGGGUGGAGCCUGCGGUUUAAUUGGAGUCAACGCCGGA
RNAcentral lists this ribosomal RNA (837 nucleotides) under uncultured archaeon. Its description in RNAcentral is "bacterial SSU rRNA". It matches the Rfam family "Archaeal small subunit ribosomal RNA", at positions 85 to 922 of the family's 1478-position model. The record is from RNAcentral.